AGCAGCCGCGGUAAUUCCAGCUCCAAUAGCGUAUAUUAAAGUUGUUGCAGUUAUAAAGCUCGUAGUUGAAUUUCGGGGUUAGUAGGUUGGUCAUGCCUCUGGUAUGUACUGGUCUCACUGAUUCCUCCUUCCUGAUGAACCUUAAUGCCAUUAAUUUGGUGUUUUGGGGAAUUUGGACUGUUACUUUGAAAAAUUAGAGUGUUUAAAGCAAGCUAACGCUUGAAUACAUUAGCAUGGAAUAAUGAAAUAGGACGUUCGAUCCUAUUUUGUUGGUUUCUAGGAUUGACGUAAUGAUUAAUAGGGAUAGUUAGGGGCAUUAGUAUUCAAUUGUCAGAGGUGAAAUUCUUGGAUUUAUUGAAGACUAACUACUGCGAAAGCAUUUGCCAAGGAUGUUUCCAUUAAUCAAGAACGAAAGUUAGGGAUCGAAGACGAUCAGAUACCGUCGUAGUCUUAACCAUAAACUAUGCCGACUAGGGAUCGGAUGAUGUUAAUUUUUUAAUGUACUCAUUCGGCGCCUUAA
RNAcentral lists this unclassified non-coding RNA (520 nucleotides) under uncultured Glomus. RNAcentral describes it as "SSU rRNA". It matches the Rfam family "Eukaryotic small subunit ribosomal RNA", at positions 569 to 1091 of the family's 1831-position model. Lineage: Eukaryota; Fungi; Glomeromycota; Glomeromycetes; Glomerales; Glomeraceae. The record is from RNAcentral.